GUUUCAAAACUCAAAAUUUCAAUUUCAAAACUUUUUUUUGUACUUUUAACUCCUUUUUUUUACGAAUCUGAAAAUUUUAGUUUUAAAGGUUUUGGCGCUGUUGUGGUACAUUGGGGCGGGGCUAACCCGAAGGACCAAUUAAAAUUGACGACAGUACCAGUGCAUUCACUGACUCUGAGAAAUUGGGUGAUAAUAGUCAGAAAAUGGCUGUAUUGUCUGUACUAUCAUAGUCUGCAGUUCUCCCAAAAAAGCAGAGAUUUAUCGCAUCCAAAACGCUGUUGUAGCCCGUUCAAAGCGCCACCUUAUUGGAUUACAUACAGACAUCAAAAACAUCUAUAUGCUUCUAAAAUGUUCAGAUUUGAUAACGAAAAAAAAAAGAAAAGACAAGAGUGAAAAGAGUUGAAAAUGAAAAAAAAGUUUUGAAAAUGAAAUUUUGACUUUUGAAAACUAAAAACCAGAACAUUUGAAGUUGAAAAUAUUUAAGUUUAUUUAAGAAUAGCAAAAACAUUUGGGCAUAUUAUUUUAUUUUAUUGGCCAAGUACCAAUAAAAUAAUAAUAUUGGCACCAAUUUAGCUCCAUAUACCCACAGUUGAUUUGAAUGAAUUGCAAAACAUUAAAGCUACAAUCCAUUUCACAUAGAGCUGCUGGGGGAUUUAAAUGACUGAUUAAAUCAAAGAUUUGUGACCUUCUUGCUCUCAUUUGAAAUGGUUAUUUUCUUAAGAAAUGCAAACAGAUGUAGCUGCAUAAAUAAAAUACAGCAAAAAUAGCCACAAAGGUCAUGGGUUUUGUUUUCCGAUAAAUAUGAGCUGCAGUGAUGCCCAAACACGCCGGCUUUAGCUUUGUGUGGUAGGACCUCUGCUCUGUUUGUUUUCCAAAGUUGGAUUUAUGACUUAAAGGUGACAGAUGCAACAAUUUGCCUCUUGAUCACAUCCCUUCCAGCUGAAACGGCCUGCACUGUCUCUUCCCCCAACUGUGUUUGGACCAAACUGCUUGAUCUGAGCUCUGCAAUCUUCCAUCUGUCAUCCGCCUCCUCCAGUUUGGAAAUAAAGCAAGUUGAAAAAAAAAACAGUCACCAGUCAUUCUGCAGUCCGUUUAUUUCAUGCAUUUUCACGUAAUGAAGCGUCGCAGGAAAAGGCGGCACGAUCAUUUCCAGGAACAUGGUCAGGAAUAUGCGUUGGGAAAUUUGAAAGUUUAGUGUUUUUCUGAAAGUGCUUUUUGAAGCUAAGUGCAAUAUAAGGCAAUUUGAUGUUGUCAUAAAGCAGAGCUGAAUGACAACACAACUUCAGGAAAUAGUCCAUAACAUUGCGGGCUGAAGGGCUGUUCAGGAUGUCACAGGGAAAUCUCUUAUCACAGCGGGACACGAGAAGCAGCAGAAACAGCCUCACGUUGCCCGCCGCCAACAAAUACAGAGGAAGCCCAUAAGGAAUUAGCACAUUCUGCCAGCUGCAGUCCAGUCAGGAGAAGAGGUGCAGCCACACAAGCUUGUUGUGACAGCCACUUAUGCUCCAGGUCAUCUGAGCUUUGAUGAAUUGUGAUUGAUUUAUGCUGAUGGGCAGUUUGGAGAUUUCUCUGCACCAAGUUAGGUCACUCCGGCUCGGCUCUUCCUUCACAGCGAGCAGUUAUUAAACAUGUAACUGCAAAGUGGUGCCCCUCCUUUAUCUCUAGACAGUUUAAUUUCCAUAUUCAUAGCGGUGUUUUCAUUCGAGCUGCACAGGGAAGUGAACAGAUCCGUUAUCAGGGAUAAAUGCGGAAAAGCAGGGCAGUCUAACCUGCUUGGAACGAUAUUAAAUACAGAGAAAACGUUCAGCUGUUGUCUCAAAUUAAUGACUACAAUUCCACAAAGCAUGCUUUUUUUGGCUGUGGACGUCGCGGGGUUAAAGUGAUCCAUAUUCAUUCGGACAGUGUCUCUAAGCCCCUCAUUCUCCGGCGUCAACGGGAAUACAAAGCAGGACCGGACGGGGCAGUGGAUACUCCGCCGUCCGUGAGGAUGGAUGGUCCGAGAAGCAGGUUACAAAACACUCUCAUUAACCUCUGCUGCUCUUCAGAUAACAAAAAAAUCCUGCACUCUUCAAGUCCUUUGAAAGGAGAGGUGCCUCACGCAAGCCAAACAUUAACACAUAUUUAUAAAUUGAUGAUGGAUGUGGCAUUUUUACCAUAUGAAUAUGCAUGUGUUGACAGGGCGCUUUGCCACCGAGCAUUUCCCUUUUCCAAUCUCGUCAACGUUGUGGGGCCAGAUACAUUUUCCCCCCUCUGUAAUUUGGCUGUGGAAAACACCCAAGAGGCAGGAAGAGAAAUGAGAGUCAGAGAGAGGCAGGCUCGCAGCCUAUUCAAGACGGAGACAUUAAAAUGCUCUUUUGCUUUUUGAAGUCUGUGAUAAAAAUGUCAUUUUUGGGGGACACAGGCAAUUAUGAUAAAAAUCUUUUUGGCCGCUUGUGUGUGACUGUUUAACAGAAUAGCACUCCAUGCAUACAUGGGUGUGUGUGUGUGGGUGUUUGAGGACCUCACUGGGACCAUCUCCAGUGUAAACACUGACCUGGUUGGGAGCAGCUGUUCUCAUACAGGCCAAGCCGUGGCCUGUCAUCGUUUCUGAUGCUGGUCGGUGUUUUGAUGCGUGCUAUGUUGAGAUUAAAUCUAGGUCAUUUUGUUGUGAUUUUGUGUAUCCUUCUGGUAUCCAUGUGUGUUUAGCCAAACAAAUACGAUUUGGGCCAAAGUGUAAAUGGAGAUUAUGAUCAAACAUGGUUGAAUUUUGGUGGAUUUUUUCAGUUGUAUUAAGGUUUAUUUUUGAAUAAAUUUAAAGACUUUAGUCAUUUUAGAGCCUCACAUGAUCAGACCCCUAAUUAAAUCUAAGCUUUUUGAAUCUUACAAACCCACACAAUCUCUCAGAUCUUCAGGAAAGUUUUUAUUUGUUGUACCCGUGCAUGUUUCUAAAGCCGUAGGGGUCGAUGCAAAGCUCCGUCUCAUUUUUCAACUAGUAAUGAGUUAUCAUGUUGGCAAGAUUUUGUGAUUUUAUGUUUUAAUUAGAUGUAAUUUAGUCUUUGAUCUUGUGUUUUAUGUGGCUCUGGCUUUCAUUGUUGAUUUUUCUUCUGUAAAAAAUGCUUAAUGCAGAAAUAAACUGCUUCAUAAGAUAUCUUGUAAGAUCUUUAGGAUUUGAUGAGAACUUUAAACUUGUGAUCAAUACUCUGCAUAUUUUCUCAGAGACGCAUUAAACUUUAGUUUCAUUUCAUUAAAACACAAUCCAACUAUUUUUUUAAAUUAUUGACAAAUUCCCCUGCUAAAUUUACAAUUGAUUGAUUGGUUUAUUUCAAGCAUAGAUUUUGAAAAAUACAGAACAAAACAUAAAAAUAUUUCAAACUCAUUACAGAAAUAAUGAAAUGCAUUGAUUAAAAAAUAGAAAAAAAAACAAAAACACAUUUAUGUCACAUUUGAUUAAUUAAAUAUGGUAUUUAUUAACUAAAGUAAAGUGGAGUUUGAUUAAUGUUUGAUUCUUUGCUUGUAAAGGAAAGUACUUAGUUACUUCAUUUUACAGUUUUGCAUAGUUAUGUAAUCUGGUUCUGGUCAGAUCAAAUGCAAGUUUUUUUUUGUUUUUUGUUUUUUUCCAAUAGCAAUGUGAAUUGUUUGUUGAUUAUUGAUUAAUCUCAUAAAUAUUAUUUCAUAUCAAUUAUUUUUUCUUUUGAAAAAUAUAAUCAAAAAUAUGUGUUUUGACCAAGCAUAAACCUGGUAGGCGGUAAAGUCAGCAUUUCUUUCAUGUUCAGAAUCACCAUUUUGUGCCCUCAAAUAAACCCGCUUAAUGCCUAGUGUUUACAUUUUUUAUUUUAUCGGUGGUUUUAUGUUUAAUUCAUGACAACUCUGAGGGGAAUAGAUUUUUUUUCAAUUUUCGCUUAAUGAGGGGGCGUGGCUUUAUGAUUGAAAAAUGAGGAUCGCGGUGGAUUCUGGGAACAGAGUUCCAGUGUUUAGCUAGCUCAUUUGGCUUGUUUUAGCUGUUAGCUUUAGCAUCAACAAUAUACUUUGGUUUGUGUUCCACUGUCGUGUUCCAAAAUGCUCCAUGGGAGUCCUCUGUUAUCUUUUUUAUUGCUCCAACCACUUCCACCGUGCCCCACAAUCCAGCCCUUUCUGCAAAACUGGGUUGCUGGAGCCUAUCCAUCCACCCAUUUUACAAACCCGCUUAUUCCCUUUUGGGGUCCAAGAGUUGCUGUAGCCUAUCCUAGCUAAUGAAGAACAAGGGCAGCCUUCACCCUGGACAGUUCACCAAACCAUCGCAGGGCAAAUAUUUUGCCCUUUCCCGAAGGGGCAGAAGCGCCUGGAAGUGUAAUGAAUUGUUCCGGAACACGCGGAGAGGUCGCUGAAUGACUGCAGAAUCACUCAGCUGCCAGUCCUCAUCUGUCCGGGCUCCAGUGAACGCUAGGGUAGGCAUUUCCUGUUCGGCAGAUUUGGUGCAAAUGGAUUAGAAAGAAGAAUUUAGUUACACUUGGAGCAGACCACUCUGCCAGGAAAAACUGUGGUUUCAACACCUGGCUGUUUCAGAGGUUUGUUAUGCCAAUUGUUUUCACAUGUGUCAACAGUGUUGUGCAAAUUACUUCUUGACUGUAAUUUGUUAGACUUGUUUUACAAAAAUAAUAUAUUACCGUGCACUAUUACUAUAUAUAUGACACAACUCCAGAUUCUAUUUGGGGUCUCUUCUUUAAAGACCCACUCCAAUCAUCUUUUGAUCUAUUUUCAAAUAUUUCCUAGUGAUCUUUUAAUUAUAAUCAAAAUUUAAAAAGAAAAAUUGUCAUUUUCUUGGACAUAGCUUCUGCAGAGCGGCAGUAGUUCUUUAGAAAUUCGCCUUUGAGAUGUUGGCAGCUCCGCUCGUGAGAGCGCUCAGUUUACACACUUCCCCACUAGCUUACAGCUCCUCACAUCCCCAGUGUUCUGUCCCAGCUCUGGUUUAAGUUGUUUUAUCGUUUGACCACUAGGGGGAGCAGGAGUGCUGCUCUUUUUAGCUUUAGCUCAAGAUGAAGAUAAUCAAGAACAAGCUAUCAAACGAGCACAAAACUGCCCUUCGUUUGCAUUUUUCUUCCACAAAGCUUAGAGAAUUCAUGCCUGUGAGUCACUAAAAUGAGCUUGUUUGUUAAUAAAAUGUAUUUAGGCCAUGUGAAUGUUAGCUGCUAGUGGCUAACAUUCCUAGCAUCGUUUCUCUUUGAAAAGUGAUCACCAUCAGUUUAAUCCAUAUAAAUUAAUUUAAACUUUCAUAAAUAUUAGCUAUUUGGAGCUAAUAUUUGGCACUUUAAAGCAGAACUAAGCUGAGAAGAAGCACAAAAUUUACAUCUAUAGUUUUACCCUUAACAAAAAUUUCAGUCAACAUAAAAUAAAAAAAAAAUAAAUAAAUAAAAAAAACAGUUAGUGACUGAACAGUUGCUGAAUAUAUUUAAUGUUGCUUUGUUUAUCUUGUCUUUGAACAACUAAGUUUUGGAUGGCAAAAAAACUUGUCAUUAUAAUCUUUCUCCACGGUUAAAGAACACAUAAAUUAAACUGUAUUGAUAAAGCACUUUAAUUCAACGAGAUUUACUGAAUGAAAAUGAAAAAAAAAACUUAAAAACAAAGAAAA
This is a long non-coding RNA of Oryzias melastigma (Indian medaka), 5584 nucleotides long. RefSeq lists it as uncharacterized. NCBI's taxonomy places the organism in Eukaryota, Metazoa, Chordata, Actinopteri, Beloniformes, Adrianichthyidae. The record is from RefSeq and is a predicted model, not a curated record. The transcript has 4 exons.